Molecule: long non-coding RNA, 519 nt
Organism: Cygnus olor (mute swan)
Lineage: Eukaryota; Metazoa; Chordata; Aves; Anseriformes; Anatidae
Exons: 3
Source: RefSeq, a predicted model, not a curated record
CAGGUGCCUGUCAGCCCUGUGAAGGCCUCCACAAACAGUGCCUGUAGCUGCAGCAGUUGCAUCAGCUUUGCUCUUACACACAAGGAAGAAAGGAAUGGGCAUUUUAUAUUCUGAGUCAAGGUGCUGUUGAUAUGACAACCCUGAGGAAAACUCCAUGUCUAAGUAUAUCACGUGUUGUAUGUCCCCUUGCUCCAGUUAGCUGAGGCAGGAAGCGUGAGGAAAGCAGUAACUGUGGGAAGCUGCAGUUUGUCAUGCAGUGAUUCUUUCUUCAUUGCACGUAUUAUCAACUGUUUACCUGCAAUGGAGGAAUGUGCCAGUUACGGACCAUUCAGGGUUUUUCUGCACUGAUAUUGCCUACUUGGGAUAAUCCAAAAAAAGAACAGAAAAUCAGAACAAUGUUGGAAAGGCCCAGCUAAGAGAAACACCUGAAUUUCUAUGGAUGUUUGACAGUCAGAGGAGGUACCUUAACGUGAAGGAGGCCCAGACUACUGAUGACUAAUACAAAUUCAAUUUCAAUAA